RNAcentral lists this ribosomal RNA (356 nucleotides) under uncultured bacterium. RNAcentral describes it as "bacterial SSU rRNA". It matches the Rfam family "Bacterial small subunit ribosomal RNA", at positions 8 to 353 of the family's 1533-position model. The record is from RNAcentral.
AGAGUUUGAUCCUGGCUCAGGAUGAACGCUAGCUACAGGCUUAACACAUGCAAGUCGAGGGGAAACGACAUCGAAAGCUUGCUUUUGAUGGGCGUCGACCGGCGUACGGGUGAGUGACGCGUAUCCAACCUGCCCACCACUUGGGGAUAACCUUGCGAAAGUAAGACUAAUACCCAAUGAUAUCUCUAGAAGACAUCUGAAAGAGAUUAAAGAUUUAUCGGUGAUGGAUGGGGAUGCGUCUGAUUAGCUUGUUGGCGGGGUAACGGCCCACCAAGGCAACGAUCAGUAGGGGUUCUGAGAGGAAGGUCCCCCACAUUGGAACUGAGACACGGUCCAAACUCCUACGGGAGGCCGGA